This 854-nucleotide ribosomal RNA is filed under the name uncultured Chloroflexota bacterium. Its description in RNAcentral is "bacterial SSU rRNA". It matches the Rfam family "Bacterial small subunit ribosomal RNA", at positions 8 to 851 of the family's 1533-position model. The record is from RNAcentral. Lineage: Bacteria; Bacillati; Chloroflexota.
AGAGUUUGAUUAUGGCUCAGGAUGAACGCUGGCGGCGUGCCUAAUACAUGCAAGUCGAACGUAGAUGUUCUUGUGUUUACACGAGAGCUCUUAGUGGCGAACGGGUGAGUAACGCGUUGGUGACCUGCCCUAAAGAAGGGAACAACCUCGGGAAACUGAGGCUAAUACCCUAUGUGCUUCUGGAGAUUAGAUGCUCUUGAAGUAAAGGUUCUGUGGACGAAAGGACACAGCAUCGCUUUAGGAGGGGCCUGCGUCCCAUCAUGCUAGUUGGUAGGGUAAUGGCCUACCAAGGCGAUGACGGGUAGGGGACCUGAGAGGGUGACCCCCCACACUAGCACUGAAACACGGGCUAGACACCUACGGGUGGCAGCAGUAGGGAAUAUUGCACAAUCGACGAAAGUCCGAUGCAGCAACGCCGCGUGUGCGAUGAAGGCCUUCGGGUUGUAAAGCACUUUUAUGAGGGAAGAGAAAGGACGGUACCUCAGGAAUAAGUCUCGGCUAACUACGUGCCAGCAGCCGCGGUAAUACGUAGGAGGCAAGCGUUAUCCGGAUUCAUUGGGCGUAAAGCGCGUGCAGGUGGUUUGGUAAGUUGGGUAUGAAAUCUUCUGGCUUAACUAGGAGAGGUUGCUCAAAACUGCCAGACUAGAGGACGAUAGAGGAAGGUGGAAUUCCCGGUGUAGUAGUGAAAUGCGUAGAUAUCGGGAGGAACACCAGUGGCGAAGGCGGCCUUCUGGGUCGUUCCUGACACUAAGACGCGAAAGCAUGGGUAGCAAACGGGAUUAGAAACCCCGGUAGUCCAUGCCGUAAACGAUGUGAACUUGAUGUCGGUGGCGUAAUAGUCAUCGGUGUCGUAG